RNAcentral lists this long non-coding RNA (204 nucleotides) under Sus scrofa (pig). Its description in RNAcentral is "lncRNA (ENSSSCG00040003001.1)". Lineage: Eukaryota; Metazoa; Chordata; Mammalia; Artiodactyla; Suidae. The record is from RNAcentral.
GAAAAGUAAAUCUAAGUAGAUGUUCUCAUGUUUCCCCACUUCACCCUAGUACACUACCUCAGUGUGCUGUGCUGGGGGAGAAUCUGCCUGGACUGCGUACUGGAGAAGUUUAAGGUCUUGGAGCCUACGCUUCACCCCAGAUAGCCCUAGAAAAAGCCACAGGUUCUAUAGCAAAAUAAACUGAUGGUUCCAAUUAUCCUUCCA